RNAcentral lists this long non-coding RNA (428 nucleotides) under Rattus norvegicus (Norway rat). RNAcentral's name for it is "long non-coding RNA NONRATT009446". Lineage: Eukaryota; Metazoa; Chordata; Mammalia; Rodentia; Muridae. The record is from RNAcentral.
GGACAGGUAGGACGUUUGCUGGAGGAAGGAGAAGAGUGCCCCAGGCUCUCUAGUGACAGCAUGAAUCUGUGAUCAGUAGGGUGUAUCUGUGGAUGCAUGAUGAAUUUGUUGAUGGUGAAUGGAUGGAUGGAUAGAAGAUGGAUGGAUAAUGAAUGGAUGGAUGCUAUAUCUGUGGGUGGAUGGGUAGAUGAUGGAUGGAUGAACAUACAGACAGAUGUAUGGAUAGAUUUGUGGGUGGAAAGAUGGGAGCUCAGCUGUGGUGGGGAAAGCACAGGCUUCAGAGCAUCCCAGAAGGACAGCCCACCUGUCUCCAGUCCUGCCCGAUGGAGAAAGAGCAGGGAACAGGAGCCCUCAAGUCAUUGUCCUAUGAAACAGUGCUGUGUCACUGAGUGCCCACUCAGCCACUGGCACUGGUCCACACAUACCUG